AAUAGUUCUGUCAGUGAACAUAUACUCAGAAUGUCUGGGUACCACAACCACUUGACUCAACUGGGAGUUAAUCUUGCUAAUGAUAGUGUCAUUGAUAGAGUUCUUCAAUCACUGCCACCAAGCUACAAAAUCUUCGUGAUGAAAUAUAAUAUGCAAGGGAUGGAUAAGACAAUUCCCGAGCUAUUCGCGAUGCUAAAGGUUGUGGAGGUAGAAACCAAGAAGGAGCAUCAAGUGUUGAUGGUUAACAAGACCACUAAUUUCAAGAAGAAGGGCAAAGGAAAGAAGGGGAACUUCAAGAAGAAUGGCAAGCAAGUUGCUGCUCAAGUGAAGAAGCCCAAGUCUGGACCUAAGCCUGAGACUGAGUGCUUCUACUGCAAAGGGACUGGUCACUGGAAGCGGAACUAC
Molecule: ribosomal RNA, 405 nt
Filed under: Triticum aestivum (bread wheat)
Lineage: Eukaryota; Viridiplantae; Streptophyta; Magnoliopsida; Poales; Poaceae
Description: partial small subunit ribosomal RNA
Source: RNAcentral